RNAcentral lists this ribosomal RNA (429 nucleotides) under Chloroflexota bacterium. RNAcentral's name for it is "Chloroflexi bacterium partial 16S ribosomal RNA". It matches the Rfam family "Bacterial small subunit ribosomal RNA", at positions 355 to 776 of the family's 1533-position model. The record is from RNAcentral. Lineage: Bacteria; Bacillati; Chloroflexota.
UGGGGAAUAUUGCACAAUGGGCGCAAGCCUGAUGCAGCCAUGCCGCGUGAAUGAAGAAGGCCUUCGGGUUGUAAAGUACUUUCAGUCGGGAGGAAGGUGUCAAGGUUAAUAACCUUGGCAAUUGACGUUACCGACAGAAGAAGCACCGGCUAACUCCGUGCCAGCAGCCGCCGUAAUACGGAGGGUGCAAGCGUUAAUCGGAAUUACUGGGCGUAAAGCGCACGCAGGCGGUUGAUUGAGUCAGAUGUGAAAUCCCCGGGCUUAACCCGGGAAUUGCAUCUGAUACUGGUCAGCUAGAGUCUUGUAGAGGGGGGUAGAAUUCCAUGUGUAGCGAUGAAAUGCGUAGAGAUGUGGAGGAAUACCGGUGGCGAAGGCGGCCCCCUGGACAAAGACUGACGCUCAGGUGCGAAAGCGUGGGGAGCAAACAGG